RNAcentral lists this ribosomal RNA (249 nucleotides) under uncultured bacterium. Its description in RNAcentral is "partial 16S ribosomal RNA". It matches the Rfam family "Bacterial small subunit ribosomal RNA", at positions 29 to 275 of the family's 1533-position model. The record is from RNAcentral.
AUUAACGCUAGCGGCAGGCAUAAUACAUGCAAGUUGAACGGCAGCACAGGUAGCAAUACUGGGUGGCGAGUGGCGCACGGGUGCGUAACACGUAUGUAACCUACCCUAUACAGGCGAAUAACCUUUAGAAAUGAGGGCUAAUACGCCGUAGUAUUACAGAUGGGCAUCUAUUUGUAAUUAAAGAUUUAUCGGUAUAGGAUGGGCAUGCGUCCCAUUAGUUAGUUGGUAAGGUAACGGCUUACCAAGACG